UACAGAGGUCUCGAGCGUUAGGCGGAAUCACUGGGCUUAAAGCGCGUGUAGGCGGAUCGUUAAGUGCCUUGUGAAAUCCCACGGCUUAACCGUGGAACUGCUUGGCAUACUGGCGAUCUUGAGCCAUCUAGGGGCCUGCGGAACAAACGGUGGAGCGGUGAAAUGCGUAGAUAUCAGGAGGAACACCGAUGGCGAAGGCAGGUCUCUGGGCCACUACUGACGCUGAGGAGCGAAAGCGUGGGGAGCGAACAGG
This 253-nucleotide ribosomal RNA is filed under the name uncultured bacterium. Its description in RNAcentral is "partial 16S ribosomal RNA". It matches the Rfam family "Bacterial small subunit ribosomal RNA", at positions 524 to 776 of the family's 1533-position model. The record is from RNAcentral.